UGAAUACGAGACGCUAAGGCGUCGAAGUAGUGUAUGUCAUACUUCCAAGAAAAGCUUGCACUGUCAUAGAUAAAAAACGCCUGUACCAUAACCGACACAGGUGGGUAGGUAGAGUAUACUAAGGGGCGCGAGAUAACUCUCUCUAAGGAACUCGGCAAAAUAACUCCGUAACUUCGGGAGAAGGAGUGCCUUAUUCUUAAGGUUGCAAUAACAAGAUCCAAGCAACUGUUUAUCAAAAACACAGGUCUCCGCUAAGUCGUAAGACGAUGUAUGGGGGCUGACGCCUGCCCAGUGCCAGAAGGUUAAAGAAGCUGGUUAGCAUUUGCGAAGCUAGUAACUGAAGCCCUGGUGAACGGCGGCCGUAACGAUAACGGUCCUAAGGUAGCGAAAUUCCUUGUCGGGUAAGUUCCGACCCGCACGAAAGGCGUAAUGAUUUGGAUACUGUCUCGGAGAGGGGCUCGGUGAAAUAGACUUGUCUGUGAAGAUGCGGACUACCUGCACCAGGACAGAAAGACCCUAUGAAGCUUUACUGUAACUUGAAAUUGAAAUUGGACUUUAUUCGCGCAGUAUAGGUGGGAGGCGUUGAUUAUAAUCUUGCGGGAUUAUUGGAGCCAUUAGUGAGAUACCACUCUUGUAAUGUUAGAUUUCUAACUUUGAAUCAUUAUCUGGUCAAAGAACAGUUUCAGGCGGGCAGUUUGACUGGGGCGGUCGCCUCCCAAACGGUAACGGAGGCGUACAAAGGUUUCCUCUGAACGGUUAGAAAUCGUAUCUAGAGUGUAAAGGCAUAAGGAAGCUUGACUGUGAGACCUACAAGUCGAGCAGGGACGAAAGUCGGUCUUAGUGAUCUGACGGUACUGAGUGGAAAGGCCGUCACUCAACGGAUAAAAGUUACUCUAGGAUAACAGGCUGAUCUCCCCCAAGAGUUCACAUCGACGGGGAGGUUUGGCACCUCGAUGUCGGCUCAUCGCAUCCUGGGGCGGUAGUACGUCCCAAGGGUUGGGCUGUUCGCCCAUGAAAGCGGUACGCGAGCUGGGUUCAGAACGUCGUGGGACAGUUCGGUCCAUAUCCGGUGUAGGCGUUAGAAUAUUGAGAGGGGCCUUCUUUAGUACGAGAGGACCGAGAAGGACAUACCUCUGGUGUACCAGUUAUCGUGCCAACGGUAGACGCUGGGUAGCUAUGUAUGGAGUGGAUAACCGCUGAAAGCAUCUAAGUGGGAAGCCCACCUCAAGAUAAGUA
Molecule: ribosomal RNA, 1236 nt
Filed under: metagenome
Description: bacterial LSU rRNA
Rfam family: Bacterial large subunit ribosomal RNA
Source: RNAcentral